This 199-nucleotide long non-coding RNA is filed under the name Elaeis guineensis (African oil palm). RNAcentral's name for it is "long non-coding RNA (EGUI_LNC032796)". Lineage: Eukaryota; Viridiplantae; Streptophyta; Magnoliopsida; Arecales; Arecaceae. The record is from RNAcentral.
ACCACUCAUGAGGGAUAACUAAUCAGACCCUCAAAAUACUAUCGAGAAUGCAAGAUGCUGUAGGCAUAAUUUCAUCACUGGUACACACUGCCUCUCGCGCAAAGAUGAGAAGUGCUAGAUGCCAUAGGUACAAGAUCACUGCAGGCAUACAAUGCUACUCAUGAGGGAUAACUAAUUAGAUUCUCAGAAUGCCACCGAG